AGAGUUUGAUCCUGGCUCAGAGCGAACGCUGGCGGCGUGCUUAACACAUGCAAGUCGAACGCGCAGCAUUCUGUAGCAAUACAGGGUGUGGGCGCGUGGCGAACGGGUGCGUAACACGUGGAUAACCUUCCUUGAGGUGGGGAAUAACCCAGUGAAAAUUGGGCUAAUACCGCAUAACAUCGCGAUGGCACAUGCUGAUGCGAUCAAAGGCGCAAGUCGCCACAAGAGGGAUCCGCGGCCGAUUAGCUUGUUGGCGAGGUAAUGGCUCACCAAGGCAAUGAUCGGUAGCCGGACUGAGAGGUUGGCCGGCCACACUGGAACUGAGACACGGUCCAGACUCCUACGGGAGGCAGCAGUGGGGAAUCUUGCACAAUGGACGAAAGUCUGAUGCAGCAACGCCGCGUGGGGGAUGAAGCUUCUCGGAGUGUAAACCCCUUUCGACCCGGAAGAAUGCCCGCAAGGGUAUGACGGUACGGGUAUAAGAAGCCCCGGCUAACUACGUGCCAGCAGCCGCGGUAAUACGUAGGGGGCCAGCGUUGCUCGGAAUUACUGGGCGUAAAGGGUCCGUAGGCGGUGUAGCAAGUCGAUAGUGAAAUCUCUGCGCUUAACGCAGAGGCUGCUAACGAAACUGCUGUGCUAGAGUGUGAGAGAGGCGAGUGGAAUUACGGGUGUAGCGGUGAAAUGCGUAGAUAUCCGUAGGAACAUCCGAGGCGAAGGCGGCUCGCUGGAUCACAACUGACGCUGAGGGACGAAAGCUAGGGGAGCAAACAGGAUUAGAUACCCUGGUAGUCCUAGCCCUAAACCAUCACGACUUGGGGUUUGCCCUGUACGGGGCAAGUCCCGUAGCUAACGCGUUAAGUCCUGCGCCUGGGGAGUACGGUCGCAAGGCUGAAACUCAAAGGAUUUGACGGGGCCCGCACAAGCGGUGGAACAUGUGGUUCAAUUCGACGCACCCGAAGAACU
This 963-nucleotide ribosomal RNA is filed under the name uncultured bacterium. Its description in RNAcentral is "bacterial SSU rRNA". It matches the Rfam family "Bacterial small subunit ribosomal RNA", at positions 8 to 970 of the family's 1533-position model. The record is from RNAcentral.